This 484-nucleotide ribosomal RNA is filed under the name uncultured bacterium. Its description in RNAcentral is "partial 16S ribosomal RNA". It matches the Rfam family "Bacterial small subunit ribosomal RNA", at positions 30 to 507 of the family's 1533-position model. The record is from RNAcentral.
AUUGAACGCUGGCGGCAGGCCUAACACAUGCCAGUCGAGCGGAUGAAGGGAGCUUGCUCCUGGAUUCAGCGGCGGACGGGUGAGUAAUGCCUAGGAAUCUGCCUGGUAGUGGGGGAUAACGUCCGGAAACGGGCGCUAAUACCGCAUACGUCCUGAGGGAGAAAGUGGGGGAUCUUCGGACCUCACGCUAUCAGAUGAGCCUAGGUCGGAUUAGCUAGUUGGUGGGGUAAAGGCCUACCAAGGCGACGAUCCGUAACUGGUCUGAGAGGAUGAUCAGUCACACUGGAACUGAGACACGGUCCAGACUCCUACGGGAGGCAGCCGUGGGGAAUAUUGGACAAUGGGCGAAAGCCUGAUCCAGCCAUGCCGCGUGUGUGAAGAAGGUCUUCGGAUUGUAAAGCACUUUAAGUUGGGAGGAAGGGCAGUAAGUUAAUACCUUGCUGUUUUGACGUUACCAACAGAAUAAGCACCGGCUAACUUCGUG